AGGAGCUGUCCUUAGUACGAGAGGACCGGGAUGGACGCACCGCUGGUGUACCAGUUGUCUUGCCAAAGGCAUCGCUGGGUAGCUAUGUGCGGACGGGAUAAGUGCUGAAAGCAUCUAAGCAUGAAGCCCCCCUCGAGAUGAGAUUUCCCAUUCGUAAGAAGUAAGAUCCCUCAAAGACGAUGAGGUAGAUAGGUCCGAGGUGGAAGCGUAGCGAUACGUGGAGCUGACGGAUACUAAUCGAUCGAGGACUUAACCA
This 256-nucleotide ribosomal RNA is filed under the name Schinkia azotoformans MEV2011. Its description in RNAcentral is "Bacillus azotoformans MEV2011 partial 23S ribosomal RNA". It matches the Rfam family "Bacterial large subunit ribosomal RNA", at positions 2667 to 2925 of the family's 2925-position model. The record is from RNAcentral. Lineage: Bacteria; Bacillati; Bacillota; Bacilli; Caryophanales; Bacillaceae.